Acanthopagrus latus (yellowfin seabream) is the source of this 720-nucleotide long non-coding RNA. RefSeq lists it as uncharacterized. Lineage: Eukaryota; Metazoa; Chordata; Actinopteri; Spariformes; Sparidae. The transcript is spliced from 2 exons. The record is from RefSeq and is a predicted model, not a curated record.
UGCUCUUCCUUUGAUGAAAGAUGCUCUCCAGUUCUGAUAUAUCUGUUGCUAUAGCAACUGUGCUAACCUCUCGAGGAGCUGCCAUUGUUGCUUUCAAACAAACAGUUGCUUCGCUUUUCUGUCGUCACAGCUAAAGUAGUUCCUCAUAGGAGGCUGAUUGUCAAACCACUGCAGUUCAGCCACAAGCGCACAGAUCACAGUCAUGUGAUCUUGCAAAUCCAGCUGCUUCACAAUGUAACCACGCCAAUGACACAAGUGGAAAGGUUGACCUGACAUGGUGGAUAUAAAGUCAGGGGAUCAACAGAGUCAUCAGGAUUCAUCCGCUGAGGAGUGCUGAUAUCAUUGCCAAAGUUCAUAGUGAUUCAUCCGAUAGUUGGGGUUGGAUCGCAGUAGCAGCAGGCUAAGCAGGGCAGUCCAGACGUCUUCAUGCUUCCCAGCUCCUGCUGGGAUGAGGAAACCAUGCUGCUUGCGUAGAUGAAAAACAAUGUUCGAACAAACGUAUUAGACGUCCAAAAACCUUUCCAAGCGCCAUUUAUUUAAUCUGAGAACAACAUCAUUUUCUCUGAUUGAUUAAGAAUAAUACAAAACAUAAUGUUUCAGCGAGGAAAUGACACAUCAGGCACUAAUCAGCGAGGAAAUGCACAAUGGGAGUCAUACAAUGACACCAACAUACCGUACAAUCUGGUAUGCAUAAUAACAAAUAAAUGGGAUUUAACAUUA